This 568-nucleotide ribosomal RNA is filed under the name Etmopterus sheikoi (rasptooth dogfish). RNAcentral's name for it is "partial 16S ribosomal RNA". It matches the Rfam family "Bacterial large subunit ribosomal RNA", at positions 1851 to 2611 of the family's 2925-position model. The record is from RNAcentral. Lineage: Eukaryota; Metazoa; Chordata; Chondrichthyes; Squaliformes; Etmopteridae.
GGUCCCGCCUGCCCUGUGACAAUGUUUAACGGCCGCGGUAUUUUGACCGUGCGAAGGUAGCGUAAUCACUUGUCUUUUAAAUGAAGACCCGUAUGAAAGGCAUUACGAGAGUUUAACUGUCUCUAUUUUCUAAUCAAUGAAAUUGAUCUUCUCGUGCAGAAGCGAGAAUAUUAACAUUAGACGAGAAGACCCUAUGGAGCUUUAAACACAUAAAUUAAUUAUGUAAAAUUAUAAAUCUAUGGACAUAAACCAUUUAUAUAAUAUUCCUAAUUUAACUGUUUUUGGUUGGGGUGACCAAGGGGAAAAGAAAAUCCCCCUUAUCGAUUGAGUAUCUUAAUACUUAAAAAUUAGAACGACAGUUCUUAUUAAUAAAAUAUUUACCGAAGAAUGACCCAGUUUUUCUGAUCAAUGAACCAAGUUACCCUAGGGAUAACAGCGCAAUCCUUUCCAAGAGUCCAUAUCGCCGAAAGGGUUUACGACCUCGAUGUUGGAUCAGGACAUCCUAAUAGUGCAACCGUUAUUAAGGGUUCGUUUGUUCAACGAUUAAUAGUCCUACGUGAUCUGAGUU